Molecule: ribosomal RNA, 253 nt
Filed under: uncultured bacterium
Lineage: Bacteria
Description: partial 16S ribosomal RNA
Rfam family: Bacterial small subunit ribosomal RNA
Source: RNAcentral
GACGUAGGGCGCGAGCGUUGUCCGGAAUCACUGGGCGUAAAGGGCGCGUAGGCGGCCUGGUAAGUAGGAGGUGAAAUUCUGCGGCUUAACCGCAGAGCUGCCUUCUAAACUGUCAGGCUUGAGCACGGUAGAGGCUGGUGGAAUUCCCGGUGUAGCGGUGGAAUGCGUAGAGAUCGGGAAGAACAUCGGUGGCGAAGGCGGCCAGCUGGGCCGUUGCUGACGCUGAGGCGCGAAAGCGUGGGGAGCAAACAGG